AUUGAACGCUGGCGGCAUGCUUUACACAUGCAAGUCGAACGGCAGCACAGGGAGCUUGCUCCUGGGUGGCGAGUGGCGAACGGGUGAGUAAUGUAUCGGAACGUGCCUGGUAGUGGGGGAUAACUACUCGAAAGAGUGGCUAAUACCGCAUGAGAUCUUUGGAUGAAAGCGGGGGACCUUCUGGCCUCGUGCUACUGGAGCGGCCGAUAUCAGAUUAGGUUGUUGGUGGGGUAAAGGCCUACCAAGCCUGCGAUCUGUAGCUGGUCUGAGAGGACGACCAGCGACACUGGGACUGAGACACGGCCCAGACUCCUACGGGAGGCAGCAGUGGGGAAUUUUGGACAAUGGGCGCAAGCCUGAUCCAGCAAUGCCGCGUGCAGGACGAAGGCCUUCGGGUUGUAAACUGCUUUUGUACAGAACGAAAAGGCUCUGGCUAAUAUCUAGAGAUCAUGACGGUACUGUAAGAAUAAGCACCGGCUAACUACGUG
This 488-nucleotide ribosomal RNA is filed under the name uncultured bacterium. Its description in RNAcentral is "partial 16S ribosomal RNA". It matches the Rfam family "Bacterial small subunit ribosomal RNA", at positions 30 to 507 of the family's 1533-position model. The record is from RNAcentral.